GUGAAAUUACUGAAUUAGACAUUGUCAUUCGUUGACAUCUGUCCAAAUUUGAGGUUUUUUGGUCUUUUUGUUGUUGUUUGUAUUUUGGCCCGUGAUAACUUCUGCAUUAAUUGGUGAUUGACGUUGGCAGUCAGAAAUUAUUAUUCUUCCUCUCCAAGCCAAGCUAUUUUGAAUGUUGGCUGUCCCCUGAAGCAUAGUUGUGGUUAUUUUCUCAGUGCAACCUUCUACUUCUUGACGAAUGUUUGAAUUUUUUUUACUAUUCCUUCUUUUCCUUCAUGAAUCAAUCUUCUUCUUCUCCAAGAAAAGUUACUUUCAUUCUUCUUCCUCCACAAAAAAGGCAACUUUAGAGAACGAUAACAAAACCUUUCGGCCUCAAGAUCUCCUUCAUCAAAGGGUAUUUUUGUACUUUUUAUUCGGUCUCCUUCAUCAAAGGGUAUUUUUCUACUUUUUAUUCGGCGAUAUAUAUCUAGACAUCUGUUCUUAGAUCUUGAGUUGACUUUCUUUUGGGUAUGCGGAGAUUAGAGGAUUUCAAACCCAUAUGACCAAAUGGAUUGAAGUCUGUGGCUGCAUCAUAACAAAAUCAAGUUAUAGCAAUAUUUGUUUGAAAUUUUCAGGAUUGACGGGUACAAUGGCAGAAGCAUUGAUCAUAGGGCUUCCCAUAAUUAUCUGAUAGGAUGGCUAACAAGUUUGAUAAGGAGGUUGCUUUUUGUUCUCAAAUAACUCAAGGUAUCCAAAGUAUAAUAUGUGCUUAAUUUAUUAUUUAAUUUUUUACUUUUAUGAAGUGUGGUUGCUAUGAACUUUCAUAUGAAUUCAUACAAAAUUGGGAACUUUGAGAACUGGAUGAAAAUCAUGGAAUAUGAUUAUAAAAAUAUCACCACAAAAUACCAAAUAUCACCAUGUAAUUCUAAGUAUCUAAUCCUUUUUCAUACGUUUUUCUACUCUAAACAUAAUACCAAAUAUCAUGUAUUAGUUUUAGAUAACCAUUUCAUUUUGUUGUAGUAACCGACAUUCAUGUCAUAGAUUUUAAAUUGUAGCAAAGGUCACCCUCAACACACCAUUAUGUUGAUUUGUGGAAAGGCCGUUGAACUUCAAAGUUAUAUGGAAAUGUCCAACCAAAGGUGAAGAGGAUUCUUUUGUUGGUAACUAUAUUGCAAAUUGUAUAUAUUUAUGUGUGUGGAUGUCAUUAUAUUGAUGCGCACACCCAGCUGUGGAUAAAUCCUAAAGAAGAAAUUUUGCAGUAUGUUGAUAUUGGAGAUCCAAUAGAUGUGACUUUCAGUGUAAAAGAAUUGAAGGUAUGGUAAGCCUAGCCUUUUGUUUGCAAGUUUUUGUUUGACAUAGGUAAGUUUAGCAAAUGAUAUUAGAGAUUAAGUCAAAUGAUAUCAUGUUUUUUAAAUUUUAUCAUGUUAUCUAUCAGAAUUUGUGUUAUUCUUUCUUUCUUUCAUUCUACGAUAAAUUAAAGUAUUAAACUAGACUUGAUAGUUUAAAUAUUUGGAGCAGAUAAUCUUUUGUUAAUCAAAUUUUUCAUUAGCUUUUUCAUUGUGCAGCAAGUGCAUACAAAAGCUUUAGUCCUUUGGAAGAGCAACAUGCACAAGGAGAAACAGUUUUGUAUGAUGAUGAUGGAAGAGAAAUUCAAAGAAUUACAAUGCAAUAAAUUACAAUUCAAACACCUGGUUGAAUUGUCAUAGCAGAUACAAAGUUUGGGGGUGCUCAAACUAGACACUAGGAAUAUUGUCCAAAGCUUUAUUAGCUUAUAAUAUAUUUUGUAACCUUCUCAUCUUUAUUACUAUAAUUAGUGUUGAAGAUGACCGAAAUCCAUGAGUAGAACAAUGUGAAAAUAAAAUGUGUAUCCAACUUAGGAUUUUUUUUUUCAAACAAUUACAGACCAUUGGUUAUGUAUUAACUCAAGUAUGUACAAAU
This is an unclassified non-coding RNA of Vigna unguiculata (cowpea), 1917 nucleotides long. The record is from RefSeq and is a predicted model, not a curated record. NCBI's taxonomy places the organism in Eukaryota, Viridiplantae, Streptophyta, Magnoliopsida, Fabales, Fabaceae.